This 90-nucleotide transfer RNA is filed under the name Candidatus Melainabacteria bacterium RIFCSPHIGHO2_02_FULL_34_12. RNAcentral describes it as "tRNA-Ser". It matches the Rfam family "tRNA". Rfam says of the family: Transfer RNA (tRNA) molecules are approximately 80 nucleotides in length. Their secondary structure includes four short double-helical elements and three loops (D, anti-codon, and T loops). Further hydrogen bonds mediate the characteristic L-shaped molecular structure. tRNAs have two regions of fundamental functional importance: the anti-codon, which is responsible for specific mRNA codon recognition, and the 3' end, to which the tRNAs corresponding amino acid is attached (by aminoacyl-tRNA synthetases). tRNAs cope with the degeneracy of the genetic code in two manners: having more than one tRNA (with a specific anti-codon) for a particular amino acid; and 'wobble' base-pairing, i.e. permitting non-standard base-pairing at the 3rd anti-codon position. Lineage: Bacteria; Bacillati; Candidatus Melainabacteria. The record is from RNAcentral.
GGAGGCGUACCGAAGCGGUCAUAACGGAACUGACUCGAAAUCAGAUUGGCGGGGUAACCUGCCACGUGAGUUCGAAUCUCACCGCCUCCG